This 379-nucleotide ribosomal RNA is filed under the name uncultured bacterium. RNAcentral describes it as "bacterial SSU rRNA". It matches the Rfam family "Bacterial small subunit ribosomal RNA", at positions 521 to 896 of the family's 1533-position model. The record is from RNAcentral.
UAACACGUAGGACGCAAGCGUUAUCCGGAAUUACUGGGCGUAAAGAGCGUGUAGGUGGUUGUGUAAGUCAACCGUGAAAGCUCCCGGCUAAACUGGGAGAGGUCGGAUGAGACUGCAUGGCUAGAGGGUCGUAGAGGAAUGUGGAAUUCCGGGUGUAGUGGUGAAAUGCGUAGAGAUCCGGAGGAACACCAGAGGCGAAGGCGGCAUUCUGGACGACACCUGACACUGAGACGCGACAGCACGGGGAGCGAACGGGAUUAGAAACCCCGGUAGUCCGUGCCGUAAACGAUGUGUGCUAGAUGUUCGGUUGGCUACGGCUGGCUGAGCGUCGCAGCAAACGCGAUAAGCACACCGCCUGGGGAGUACGGUCGCAAGGCUA